CCUACGGGAGGCAGCAGUGGGGAAUAUUGGGCAAUGGGCGCAAGCCUGACCCAGCAACGCCGCGUGAAGGAAGAAGGCUUUCGGGUUGUAAACUUCUUUUAAGAGGGAAGAGCAGAAGACGGUACCUCUUGAAUAAGCCACGGCUAACUACGUGCCAGCAGCCGCGGUAAUACGUAGGUGGCAAGCGUUGUCCGGAUUUACUGGGUGUAAAGGGCGUGCAGCCGGGAAGACAAGUCAGAUGUGAAAUCCCGGGGCUCAACCGCGGAACUGCAUUUGAAACUGUUUUUCUUGAGUACCGGAGAGGUGAUCGGAAUUCCUGGUGUAGCGGUGAAAUGCGUAGAUAUAAGGAAGAACACCAGUGGCGAAGGCGGAUGACUGGACGGCAACUGACGGUGAGGCGCGAAAGCGUGGGGAGCAAACAGGAUUAGAUACCCUUGUAGUC
Molecule: ribosomal RNA, 442 nt
Filed under: uncultured bacterium
Lineage: Bacteria
Description: partial 16S ribosomal RNA
Rfam family: Bacterial small subunit ribosomal RNA
Source: RNAcentral